This 619-nucleotide ribosomal RNA is filed under the name uncultured bacterium. Its description in RNAcentral is "bacterial SSU rRNA". It matches the Rfam family "Bacterial small subunit ribosomal RNA", at positions 338 to 947 of the family's 1533-position model. The record is from RNAcentral.
CCUACGGGAGGCAGCAGUGGGGAAUUUUGGACAAUGGGCGCAAGCCUGAUCCAGCAAUGCCGCGUGAGUGAAGAAGGCCUUCGGGUUGUAAAGCUCUUUUGUCAGGGAAGAAACGGUGGGAGCUAAUAUCUCUUGCUAAUGACGGUACCUGAAGAAUAAGCACCGGCUAACUACGUGCCAGCAGCCGCGGUAAUACGUAGGGUGCAAGCGUUAAUCGGAAUUACUGGGCGUAAAGCGUGCGCAGGCGGUUUUGUAAGACUGUCGUGAAAUCCCCGGGCUCAACCUGGGAAUGGCGAUGGUGACUGCAAGGCUAGAGUUUGGCAGAGGGGGGUAGAAUUCCACGUGUAGCAGUGAAAUGCGUAGAUAUGUGGAGGAACACCGAUGGCGAAGGCAGCCCCCUGGGUCAAAACUGACGCUCAUGCACGAAAGCGUGGGGAGCAAACAGGAUUAGAUACCCUGGUAGUCCACGCCCUAAACGAUGUCUACUAGUUGUCGGGUCUUAAUUGACUUGGUAACGCAGCUAACGCGUGAAGUAGACCGCCUGGGGAGUACGGUCGCAAGAUUAAAACGUCAAAGGAUUGACGGCUGAGACGNGACGAGACGACGACGAGGGAGGAGG